RNAcentral lists this ribosomal RNA (816 nucleotides) under uncultured bacterium. RNAcentral's name for it is "bacterial SSU rRNA". It matches the Rfam family "Bacterial small subunit ribosomal RNA", at positions 8 to 853 of the family's 1533-position model. The record is from RNAcentral.
AGAGUUUGAUCAUGGCUCAGGAUGAACGCUGGCGGCGUGCCUAACACAUGCAAGUCGAGCGAUUUACUUCGGUAAAGAGCGGCGGACGGGUGAGUAACGCGUGGGUAACCUGCCCUGUACACACGAAUAACAUACCGAAAGGUAUGCUAAUACGAGAUAAUAUACUUUUAUCGCAUGGUAGAAGUAUCAAAGCUUUUGCGGUACAGGAUGGACCCGCGUCUGAUUAGCUAGUUGGUAAGGUGAUGGCUUACCAAGGCGACGAUCAGUAGCCGACCUGAGAGGGUGAUCGGCCACAUUGGAACUGAGACACGGUCCAAACUCCUACGGGAGGCAGCAGUGGGGAAUAUUGCACAAUGGGUGAAAGCCUGAUGCAGCAACGCCGCGUGAGCGAUGAAGGCCUUCGGGUCGUAAAGCUCUGUCCUCAAGGAAGAUAAUGACGGUACUUGAGGAGGAAGCCCCGGCUAACUACGUGCCAGCAGCCGCGGUAAUACGUAGGGGGCUAGCGUUAUCCGGAAUUACUGGGCGUAAAGGGUGCGUAGGUGGUUUCUUAAGUCAGAGGUGAAAGGCUACGGCUCAACCGUAGUAAGCCUUUGAAGCUGGGAAACUUAAGUGCAGGAGAGGAGAGUGGAAUUCCUAGUGUAGCGGUGAAAUGCGUAGAUAUUAGGAGGAACACCAGUUGCGAAGGCGGCUCUCUGGACUGUAACUGACACUGAGGCACGAAAGCGUGGGGAGCAAACAGGAUUAGAUACCCUGGUAGUCCACGCCGUAAACGAUGAGUACUAGCUGUCGGAGGUUACCACCUUCGGUGGCGCAGCU